Molecule: long non-coding RNA, 780 nt
Filed under: Homo sapiens (human)
Lineage: Eukaryota; Metazoa; Chordata; Mammalia; Primates; Hominidae
Description: HSALNT0007312
Source: RNAcentral
GCCUCAUGGAAAAGCAGCAGCGGCAUCGUCACCUGGGAGAGGAUGUGGAGACGGAGGUUUGAGUAUCUGCAACGACAACAACAAAACACACUGGCCGAUACAGCCUGGUUUGUUUUUCUUUAUAGCACCUAUCAAAACCCAUCAGAUGGUCUGUCUACCUCCAUCAGAAUGUAAACUCUUUGAAGGGAGAAACAAUGGCAACGUCAACAGCAAUGGUUUAUCACAAGUCUGAACAUUCCUCUGUGGUAAGCAAAUCCAAGAGCCUUAAGGAAUAUGUAAACUCAAAAUCCAAGGCAAAGAGAAGGCAGCAGAAGCCAACAAAUUACGUGCCCAGGAAGAGAGGCAGUAGUAACUGUCAAAUCCUAUCUAAGAUGGAAAGAAGUAGAAGUCGAUUAAAUAUAGCAUCUGAGUCACCCUUCAUGACUAAAAGGGCUUCAAUUCAACCUUCACUACUAUAAGAGCUAUAAUAAUGGUGAAACUGUCUGUAUUCUUGGUACCAAUGAUUAAUUCCUAUGAAGGGAUAGGAACAACAGAACUGAACUGACACUGUAGUUGUUAGUUAAGGUUAAAGCUUAAGGUUAGAAAGAUUAAAAGCUUCCUAUGUAAAGGCAAAAAAAUAAAUAAAUUAAUUAAUUAAAUAAAAUAAAAUAAUUGCACCCCCAUUAUCUGUCAGGUCACAUGAGUACUUUUCACCUCCAGGUUGGGUAUGAGCAAGAAUACCAGCUCCAUUAAAUGUGUGACCUUGAACAUGCUACUAAAUCUCUCUGCAUCUGUAAAAUG